Long non-coding RNA from Oreochromis aureus, 1102 nucleotides. The record is from Ensembl. Lineage: Eukaryota; Metazoa; Chordata; Actinopteri; Cichliformes; Cichlidae.
GACAGCUUCAGCGUUAAGGCAUCCACACAGCAUUUUCGCAGGAAAUGCAAAUUUUUCUAGUUAUUAUUAUUCUUCUAGUUGCUUCCGUACACUUUUUGGCACUUAACUACUCCCUCAGUUCUUAACCGAUUUUCGCCAUUCAAACUUUAAAAAAUUCUGCUCUUUCUGCUCUUUCCGGCAAUGACUUUUGGUGCUCAUAACUUCUAUACUUUUUGAGAUAUUGAAUUUUUUUUGCAAUAUUUUUUGCCCAUUUCUGCCAUAUUAUCAGUGGCCUCACUGAUUUUCCUUGCCAGGUUGACCUGUGUUUUAGCUCAGUGAGAUGAGCGUCCGUUCUCAGACUGGGAGGCCCGGGUUCAAAUCCCGCUUAUGGCAACAUUUCUUUCAGUUAACAGUUAAACUUUUUUUACUCUUUUCAACACAAAUUUCAGCUUUAUAACCCGUUUUCAGCAGAAUCUUCAGUUUUUUCACCACUUUUCAGCACAAAUCCCAGCUUUUUCAGCUAUUUUCAGCAAAAACAUCUUUUCAGCAGAAUUCUGAAAAGUUCUGCAGAACUCUUUUCAGCAGAAAUUCUGCUGAUUGAACUCUUUUCAGCAGAAUUUUCACCUCUUUUCAGCCGAAAUUCUGCUUAUUCACCUCUUCUGCAAAAUUUUCACCCUUUUCACCUCUUAUUAGCACAGAUCUCAGCUGUUUUCAGAAAAAACCCUUUUGAGCAGAAAUUCUGCUGAUUCAUCUCUUUUCAUUGCAAUUUUCUGCUUUUUCACCUCUUUUCAGCAGAAAUUCUGCUGAUUCACCUCUUUUCUGCAAAAUUUUCAACCAUUUCACCUCUUAUCAGCGCAAUUCUCAGCAGUUUCUGCUCAUUUCACCAUAAUUGUCAGUCUCUCCAUCUCUUAUCUUGUGAGAGUGAAUUUGGCACAGUGAGAUGAGUAGCUGCUUUGCACCUGGUAGGGCCAGGUUCGAAUCCUGCUCAGGGUGACAUUCUUUUUUCACCACCAUACAACUUUUUGCAACUUCUCAGCUUUUUCAGCUUUUCAGCAGACAGCUUCAGCGUUAAGGCAUCCACACAGCAUUUUCGCAGGAAAUGCAAAUUUUUCUAGUUAUUAUU